GCGAUAAUUUUGAUAAGGCCAAUGAUACUUUCAGCGUGCCCGAGUGUGUUGGUAAGUGAGUUCUUAAAUAAUUGUAGAUUAAGUUGCUGUGUGUUGACAGUCGUCUGGGUUUCGAUUUUGAUAUUGGUGCGCCAGCAGCAUGACACUAUUUUGUUUAUACAUUAUUUUCUUCGCUUUUUUUUUUUACAGAUAUCCAAGCUGCUUACUCAUGCCCCCAAAUGGAAUUCCGUGCCUCUUGCUGUUCUCUCGGUGCAAAUAUCAUGAUAAUAAUGCAAUAAUUCACAAUCUUUGCCCUUAAAUGGGAAGUAUGUUUGCGCUUGUGAACGGGUGAAAAGCGAAGAAAUUCAACUGAAAGUUUCAGCUUUUCAAUUGAAAGGCGUGCGGCAAAGGAAAAAAGGGGCGAGGCAGCAGCAGCAUAGUGUAAUAUAAAUUGAGUGCCAGCUGAGCAGCUUUAUUAAAUCUACACAAUAAGCGCAGCGUUGGGGGCUGGCAAUUCCGAUUCCAAUUUGAGCAAGUAGUCGCUGUACACGCGGAGAAAUAACACGAAAGUUCAACGGAAAAAAGGAAUAUUUUAGCAAAUCUCUUGGCUGCAUUGUGAGAAAAUAUACCUGUUCUUAGGUAUAAAGACACUAAUACCUUUUAUGAUGUCAGGCACAAAAAUUAAAAACUACACAAUUUUUUUUAUUAAGAGUGUUUAUGAACAAAACAAACAAAAAUGUUGUGAACAUUUUGUAUCAACACUUUGGCUCCGUACACCGGUGUUUCUCUCAGUGUAGCAGUGCCAGCUGCAUUUGGUGGCGGGGCCAUUUAUUUGCGCUAAUAUCGUUCACCCCACUUGAAAUGUCAGCGAGCAAACAACAAAACAACAAAGCAGCAACAACAACAGCCAAUUACUCAGCUUGAAGACUCGGAGAGAGGAGUGCAGAAGAGAAGAGAGUGCUCAGCUCAGAGAUCAGAGAUCGGUUUUCAUCAUGAUCCAGAAAUUACGGAACUCACGCCCCACAAGGUGCAAACAAUUAAAUCAAGUGCAGUGGCAGCGGGAAAGUUGGGCUAAAUUCUAAGAUGCAACUGCUGCAAGCUGUUUUCUUUUCUAUGUAAACCUGGUCCAUUUACACUGGUCAACAAAACAGCUGAAAUACUGAAAGAUUAUAGGGGAGAUUUCAGUGCUCAAUGCGGGGAUGAAAACUGUAGAACUUUCCGGCACCUUUCUGCUGGCAUUUUCCAAACCGGUUUCCAGGGUUUUCUAUCAGACAAACAGUUUUCCUUAUUAUCUUUCAGCUUGCAAGUACAGUGGUUACUGGCAAACAACACUGUGCAAGGUGCAGUGUGUUUAUAUGAUAGAUAUAUUUCACAGUGCAAAUGAAAACUACAGCAGGUAAAGGCUCCUAAAAAAUCUUUGAUUUCAGUCCUUAUUUUCUCAUGUGCAUCACUUUUCUGUAACAUUUAGUAUAUGAUAUAAUAUAAUUUAAAUUUCAUUAAAUUGAAUUGUGAUAGCCAAUCUUUGCUGUACUUUUCAACCAGCCACUUGUUGCCUUAGGCAUCUUGGGCCGCUUCAUUGGUAAGUCAGCCACAAAUCAGGUGGAGGAAAAGCACAACUGCAUUGUUUUUCGCAAGUGAAUGGCAAUGAAAUGAAAAGUACACACGCAGACGGUGAAAUAUUAUCGCUCCCAUAUGCCGUGCAUUUAAAUCGGCCGGUGGAAAUUUAAUUGCAGAAGGUUGCAACGCGGCGCCGCAUUCAGUUUCACUGCAUAUGCCGCAGAGGUCGGGUCACCAUAAACCGUACACAUAUAUAUGUAUAUAUACCAUAUAAGUAUGUUUGAGCACAUGUAUAAGCGAUGCGAUGGCGCCUCGUCGUUUGAAUGGUUUUUCCUGCAAAGUAAAAACCGCUGCACUAUCGGCACCACCAACUGCAUAUCAACAAACAUGUUUCCAUUGCGGCGAUCCGAUUCAAUCCACUUGUUGGAUCGAUCCAAAAGAUCUGAAAAGAUCGUGUACCGAGUACGGAGAAUUGAGAAUAGAGAAUCCACAGCCAAACCAACAUUUGGUUUCAAUUUACGUUCAACUCCCUUAUCGCCAACGAAUUAUUGGACACAGACAUUGCAUAAUAUAAACAGAGCUGUUUGAAGUCAAAUUACUUCCAUAAAUCUUUGUAGUCACAAUACUGAAUAGUUUUGGAUUGACGUUUACGUUUCGACUUUCAGUAAACUCUUAACUAGUAUGUGUUGCAAUGUAUAAAAUAAUAAUAAGUUUAGUAAUUAGUAGUUUUUUAAAUAUUUCUUUAAUUUAAGCAACUAGUUAGUUUUCUAGUAACUUUGUUAUAUGAAGCUCAAAUAAACAAAAUCGCUAAUUAA
Molecule: long non-coding RNA, 2351 nt
Organism: Drosophila teissieri
Lineage: Eukaryota; Metazoa; Arthropoda; Insecta; Diptera; Drosophilidae
Exons: 2
Source: RefSeq, a predicted model, not a curated record